RNAcentral lists this small RNA (59 nucleotides) under Mus musculus (house mouse). Its description in RNAcentral is "small nucleolar RNA, C/D box 69 (Snord69)". It matches the Rfam family "Small nucleolar RNA SNORD69", at positions 17 to 71 of the family's 77-position model. Rfam says of the family: snoRNA HBII-210 belongs to the C/D family of snoRNAs. The record is from RNAcentral. Lineage: Eukaryota; Metazoa; Chordata; Mammalia; Rodentia; Muridae.
UGACAGAUUGGAUCUGACUUAACUGCUGUGCUGAGUUUGUUCAAUCCAACCCUGAGCUU